Long non-coding RNA from Lycium ferocissimum, 302 nucleotides. RefSeq lists it as uncharacterized. NCBI's taxonomy places the organism in Eukaryota, Viridiplantae, Streptophyta, Magnoliopsida, Solanales, Solanaceae. The record is from RefSeq and is a predicted model, not a curated record. The transcript is spliced from 2 exons.
UUGUAUUUCGAAUAUUUAUGGCCAAACGCCCAAAAUAAAAAAAGUGAAUAAUUUUUAUGGCCAAACGGCUACUAAGUGUAGAUUCAAUUCUCACUGUCAUUUUCUAGCUGUCUUUAGUACUGUUGGUGUUUUGACUAUUGACUUGAUAGCUGUUGUCUCUUGAUAACUGACUUUCAUCUUUUAUCACUAAAUAUAUUUAUUUCUUGAUACGGUGAAGUUCUUGCUUUUACUGCAGAAGGGAUCUUUCUAUCCGGUUUUAGAUUUCCCAAGCUAACAUGGAAUUAUUGAAGACCUAUUGAAUA